CUGUGUGGAGAAAAGCUGGUACUCCUCAGGCAGGAUCCAGGAGCGGGGGGUAGAAGUUGUACUCCUCAGGCAGGAUCCAGGAGCGGUGGUAGAAGUUGUACUCCCCAGGCAGGAUCCAGGAGCGGGGGGUAGAAGUUGUACUCCCCAGGCAGGAUCCAGGAGCGGGGAUAGAAGUUGUACUCCUCAGGCAGGAUCCAGGAGCGGGGGGUAGAAGUUGUACUCCCCAGGCAGGAUCCAGGAGCGGGGGGUAGAAGUUGUACUCCCCAGGCAGGAUCCAGGAGCGGGGAUAGAAGUUGUACUCCCCAGCUAGGAUCCAGGAGUGGGGGUAGAAGUUGUACUCCUCAGGUAGUAUCCAGGAGCGGGGAUAGAAGUUGUACUCCUCAGGCAGGAUCCAGGAGCGGGGGGUAGAAGUUGUACUCCUCAGGUAGUAUCCAGGAGCGGGGGGUAGAAGUUGUACUCCCCAGGCAGGAUCCAGGAGCGGGGAUAGAAGUUGUACUCCCCAGGUAGGGUCCAGGAGUGGGGGUAGAAGUUGUACUCCUCAGGUAGUAUCCAGGAGCGGGGAUAGAAGUUGUACUCCCCAGGCAGGAUCCAGGAGCGGUGGUAGAAGUUGUACUCCCCAGGCAGGAUCCAGGAGCGGGGGGUAGAAGUUGUACUCCUCAGGUAGUUUCCAGGAGCGGGGAUAGAAGUUGUACUCCCCAGGCAGGAUCCAGGAGUGGGGGUAGAAGUUGUACUCCUCAGGUAGUUUCCAGGAGCGGGGAUAGAAGUUGUACUCCCCAGGCAGGAUCCAGGAGUGGGGGUAGAAGUUGUACUCCUCAGGUAGUAUCCAGGAGCGGGGAUAGAAGUUGUACUCCCCAGGCAGGAUCCAGGAGCGGUGGUAGAAGUUGUACUCCUCAGGCAGGAUCCAGGAGUGGGGGUAGAAGUUUUACUCCUCAGGGAACAGCUCCUGCAUGGUCCUCACCGCUUGGCUCAGGUUGAUCUUUCUCAGCAUCUCUAUCAUA
RNAcentral lists this long non-coding RNA (998 nucleotides) under Salmo salar (Atlantic salmon). Its description in RNAcentral is "lncRNA (ENSSSAG00000102227.1, ENSSSAG00000109103.1)". The record is from RNAcentral. Lineage: Eukaryota; Metazoa; Chordata; Actinopteri; Salmoniformes; Salmonidae.